GGACCCGCACAAGCGGUGGAGCAUGUGGUUUAAUUCGAAGCAACGCGAAGAACCUUACCAGGUCUUGACAUCCCUUGCUAAUCCUAGAAAUAGGACGUUCCCUUCGGGGACAAGGUGACAGGUGGUGCAUGGUUGUCGUCAGCUCGUGUCGUGAGAUGUUGGGUUAAGUCCCGCAACGAGCGCAACCCUUAUUAUUAGUUGCCAGCAUUUAGUUGGGCACUCUAGUGAGACUGCCGGUGACAAACCGGAGGAAGGUGGGGAUGACGUCAAAUCAUCAUGCCCCUUAUGACCUGGGCUACACACGUGCUACAAUGGCAUAUACAACGAGUCGCCAACCCGCGAGGGUGCGCUAAUCUCUUAAAGUAUGUCUCAGUUCGGAUUGUAGGCUGCAACUCGCCUACAUGAAGUCGGAAUCGCUAGUAAUCGCGGAUCAGCACGCCGCGGUGAAUACGUUCCCGGGUCUU
Molecule: ribosomal RNA, 464 nt
Filed under: uncultured bacterium
Lineage: Bacteria
Description: bacterial SSU rRNA
Rfam family: Bacterial small subunit ribosomal RNA
Source: RNAcentral